Anneissia japonica is the source of this 471-nucleotide long non-coding RNA. RefSeq lists it as uncharacterized. NCBI's taxonomy places the organism in Eukaryota, Metazoa, Echinodermata, Crinoidea, Comatulida, Comatulidae. The record is from RefSeq and is a predicted model, not a curated record. The transcript has 3 exons.
ACAAGGCCCAGUUUCACGCGAUGACAGCAGAGCAGCAAGGAGGAGCAUGCAGCAGCAGUAGGUGAGGAGCAUCGCUUAUCGUGGCGAAUCGGAAGCUGUUUAUCGAGGGUGCAUCAUUAUACUGCUGUGUUUUUUCGAAAGAUGUUGAAAUGAACAGCCCAUCAAUUUGCUGAUGGAAUAUUUCUUGUUUUUUGGAUAAUAUUGCAACACAGAAAUAUCUACAUAAAAUUGGUACAGUGCAGUAGUGGUGCAUCAGGGCCUGUGUCUUGCCCACCCAGAAUUGUCCUUUAAAUCCCAGCGAUGGCCAAGUUGUAUGAGUUCAAAUGGCAAGUUCCUAUUCCACCUUUCAUGCGGGAAGGAAAUACAUUUGAUCGAUGGGAUGAGGAUUCAGGAUCAAUUGAGCAGAACUGUAUAUAUAAGGUGGAUGAGUAUGGCUUCUUCAUUUAUUGGAAAAGUGAAGGAAGGGUAAGC